AUACUUACUUGGCAGGGGAGAUUCCAUAGUCAUGAAGGUGGUUUUCCCAGGGCGGGGCUUAUUUGGUUGCACUCCCAUGUACUGAUCCUUGUGGAUUCCCCAAAUGUAGGAAACUCAGUUGCAUAAUUUAUGUCGAGGAGGACUGCAUUCACCUUUUCCCCU
This 162-nucleotide small nuclear RNA is filed under the name Choloepus hoffmanni (Hoffmann's two-fingered sloth). Its description in RNAcentral is "U1 spliceosomal RNA (ENSCHOG00000015080.1)". It matches the Rfam family "U1 spliceosomal RNA". From Rfam's summary of the family: U1 is a small nuclear RNA (snRNA) component of the spliceosome (involved in pre-mRNA splicing). Its 5' end forms complementary base pairs with the 5' splice junction, thus defining the 5' donor site of an intron. The record is from RNAcentral. Lineage: Eukaryota; Metazoa; Chordata; Mammalia; Pilosa; Megalonychidae.